RNAcentral lists this long non-coding RNA (294 nucleotides) under Citrus sinensis (sweet orange). Its description in RNAcentral is "long non-coding RNA (CSIN_LNC004668)". Lineage: Eukaryota; Viridiplantae; Streptophyta; Magnoliopsida; Sapindales; Rutaceae. The record is from RNAcentral.
GCAAAUGAUCUAUGAGCAGAUAACCCGCAAGCCUACGAGCACAAAGAACAGUCAGGGGGCGCCAGAAGUUUUUUUGAUGAAAACCCUCUAACGCUCAAGUCAAAGAUUUGGGUCUACUUGGAAAAACCCAUACCACAAUUCACGUGGCUUAAUUAUGAUUGUUUUAAACAAAAAACUUUUAAGUAAAUUCAAAGGAAAAGAAUUGGAAAUAAUUAAUCUUAAAGAAAAAAUAAGCGAAAGAGAAAUUUUCCAAUGGUAGAGAGAGAAAAAGAUCCAAUGGGUUUAGUCACCCAC